RNAcentral lists this long non-coding RNA (221 nucleotides) under Elaeis guineensis (African oil palm). RNAcentral's name for it is "long non-coding RNA (EGUI_LNC050883)". Lineage: Eukaryota; Viridiplantae; Streptophyta; Magnoliopsida; Arecales; Arecaceae. The record is from RNAcentral.
CCUUAAGGGUGCAGGAACAAUGUGUAGGAACCAGAUCUAGGGUUUCAGGGUUAGAUCUUGAAACUUUUUCAAGAUCAUACAGUGGAAGACUAAAAUAAAUCAAAAUUUAUUUUUUAGAAUCAGAGAAUCUCUAGAUCUAAGAUCCUAUUACAUGAUUAUUAUAUAGUAUUAAAUUAAAAAUUAAAAUAUAUAUAUACAGCAUGAACUACAUGUUGAUCAUA